AUUGAACGCUGGCGGCAGGCUUAACACAUGCAAGUCGAGCGAGCGGCGGACGGGUGAGUAAUGUCUGGGAAACUGCCUGAUGGAGGGGGAUAAAUACUGGACACGGUAGCUAAUACCGCAUACAAUCAGGUGUGCCCAGAUGGGUUUAUCUAGUAGGUGGGGUAAUGGCUCACAUAGGCGACGAUCCCUAGCUGGGCUGAGAGGAUGACCAGCCACACUGGAACUGAGACACGGUCCAGACUCCUACGGGAGGCAGCAGUGGGGAAUAUUGCACAAUGGGCGCAAGCCUGAUGCAGCCAUGCCGCGUGUGUGAAGAAGGCCUUAGGGUUGUAAAGCACUUUCAGCGAGGAGGCGUUACUGGCAGAAGAAGCACCGGCUAACUCCGUGCCAGCAGCCGCGGUAAUUC
RNAcentral lists this ribosomal RNA (406 nucleotides) under uncultured bacterium. RNAcentral describes it as "partial 16S ribosomal RNA". It matches the Rfam family "Bacterial small subunit ribosomal RNA", at positions 30 to 526 of the family's 1533-position model. The record is from RNAcentral.